CCUACGGGUGGCUGCAGUGGGGAAUAUUGGACAAUGGGGGCAACCCUGAUCCAGCCAUGCCGCGUGUGUGAAGAAGGCCCUCGGGUUGUAAAGCACUUUCAGUGAGGAAGAACGCCUGGUGGUUAAUACCCAUCAGGAAAGACAUCACUCACAGAAGAAGCACCGGCUAACUCCGUGCCAGCAGCCGCGGUAAUACGGAGGGUGCGAGCGUUAAUCGGAAUUACUGGGCGUAAAGCGCGCGUAGGUGGCAUGAUAAGCCGGUUGUGAAAGCCCCGGGCUCAACCUGGGAACGGCAUCCGGAACUGUCAAGCUAGAGUGCAGGAGAGGAAGGUAGAAUUCCCGGUGUAGCGGUGAAAUGCGUAGAGAUCGGGAGGAAUACCAGUGGCGAAGGCGGCCUUCUGGACUGACACUGACACUGAGGUGCGAAAGCGUGGGUAGCAAACAGGAUUAGAUACCCCGGUAGUC
This 465-nucleotide ribosomal RNA is filed under the name Vreelandella stevensii. RNAcentral's name for it is "partial 16S ribosomal RNA". It matches the Rfam family "Bacterial small subunit ribosomal RNA", at positions 338 to 795 of the family's 1533-position model. The record is from RNAcentral. Lineage: Bacteria; Pseudomonadati; Pseudomonadota; Gammaproteobacteria; Oceanospirillales; Halomonadaceae.